UGUCUCUCAUGUGCACAGUCUCUCUGUCUCGCUGAAAUACAUUAGAUACAUGCUUUGAUCUUCAAUGUCAAACGGUGCGUACACAUGUUGUAAAACGCACUCCCACUCUGGACGUGUAACUGUUAUCCAUGAAAUGACUCCUGAUGCAAUUCGUUGAGGUUCCGGUUGAUCUGUGCUGAAGUUGUCUUGAUGUGAGAGAACCAGUUUGAGUCAGAGGAUCUUUGAUGAAUGGAAAGACUGGGCCGCAGCCUGGCACAAAUUUAGGGGUCCUUAGAAGACUUCUUGCUCAUCUUCAAAUUCUCAGAAUCAGCAAAGGGAAAGAAGUCUGGCUCCUACCUUUGUGAAUAGCUGAAUACAUUGGGAAUAGAAAAACACUGC
Molecule: non-coding RNA, 378 nt
Organism: Pimephales promelas (fathead minnow)
Lineage: Eukaryota; Metazoa; Chordata; Actinopteri; Cypriniformes; Leuciscidae
Source: RefSeq, a predicted model, not a curated record